RNAcentral lists this ribosomal RNA (697 nucleotides) under uncultured Methanosaeta sp. RNAcentral's name for it is "bacterial SSU rRNA". It matches the Rfam family "Archaeal small subunit ribosomal RNA", at positions 1 to 705 of the family's 1478-position model. Lineage: Archaea; Methanobacteriati; Methanobacteriota; Methanomicrobia; Methanotrichales; Methanotrichaceae. The record is from RNAcentral.
UCCGGUUGAUCCUGCCGGAGGUUACUGCUAUCGAGGUUCGACUAAGCCAUGCAAGUCGAAUGUAGCAAUACAUGGCGUACUGCUCAGUAACACGUGGACAACCUACCCUUAGGUCGGGGAUAAACCCGGGAAACUGGGUAUAAUACCCGAUAGUCCUCGGAUGCUGGAAUGCACCGAGGUCUAAAGCUCCGGCGCCUAAGGAUGGGUCUGCGGCCUAUCAGGUAGUAGUGGGUGUAGCGUACCUACUAGCCUACGACGGGUACGGGUUGUGAGAGCAAGAGCCUGGAGAUGGAUUCUGAGACACGAAUCCAGGCCCUACGGGGUGCAGCAGGCGCGAAAACUUUACAAUGCUGGAAACAGCGAUAAGGGGACCUUGAGUGCCAGGUUACAAAUCUGGCUGUCGUGAUGCCUAAAAAGCAUUGCAUAGCAAGGACCGGGCAAGACCGGUGCCAGCCGCCGCGGUAACACCGGCGGCUCGAGUGGUAACCGCUAUUAUUGGCUCUAAAGGGUCUGUAGCCGGCCGGAUAAGUCUUUUGGGAAAUCUGGCAGCUUAACUGUCAGGCUUUCAGAGGAUACUGUCUGGCUCGAGGCCGGGAUAGGUGAGAGGUACUUCAGGGGUAGGGGUGAAAUCUUGUAAUCCUUGAAGGACCACCAGUGGCGAAGGCGUCUCACCAGAACGGACCUGACGGCAAGGGAC